Molecule: transfer RNA, 74 nt
Filed under: Crocinitomicaceae bacterium
Lineage: Bacteria; Pseudomonadati; Bacteroidota; Flavobacteriia; Flavobacteriales; Crocinitomicaceae
Description: tRNA-Gln
Rfam family: tRNA
About the family: Transfer RNA (tRNA) molecules are approximately 80 nucleotides in length. Their secondary structure includes four short double-helical elements and three loops (D, anti-codon, and T loops).
Source: RNAcentral
UGCCCCAUGGUGUAAUGGCAACACACCUGAUUUUGGUUCAGAUAUUCCAGGUUCGAGUCCUGGUGGGGCAACGA